UACGUAGGGGGCGAGCGUUGUCCGGAAUUACUGGGCGUAAAGGGCGCGUAGGCGGCCCGUUAAGUCCGCGGUGAAAGCCCGGGGCUCAACCCCGGAGGUGCCGCGGAGACUGGUGGGCUGGGGGGUCGGAGAGGAGCGGGGAAUCCCUGGUGGAGCGGUGGAAUGCGUAGAGAUCAGGGGGAACACCGAUGGCGAAGGCACCGCUCUGGCCGACGACCGACGCUGAGGCGCGAAAGCUGGGGGAGCGAACGGGAUUAGAUACCCCGGUAGUCCCAGCCGUAAACGAUGACGACUAGGUGUGGGGGGCGUCAGCCCUCCGUGCCGCAGCUCACGCAUGAAGUCGUCCGCCUGGGGAGUACGGCCGCAAGGUUGAA
This 374-nucleotide ribosomal RNA is filed under the name uncultured bacterium. RNAcentral describes it as "bacterial SSU rRNA". It matches the Rfam family "Bacterial small subunit ribosomal RNA", at positions 524 to 898 of the family's 1533-position model. The record is from RNAcentral.